GCCUGGCCUGAAGAGCGGCCUGGGAUCGAGGCUACCUUCUCUCUAGCCUCACUCUAGCUAGUCUCGAGGCCAGAUUCUGAUAAGGAGAGUUUGGCCUCGAGACUAUAAUUAUAAGCUGGAACUAUAGGUGUGGCAUGAGGGGGCGUUCAGGAAUAACAGGGCAAGGCCUCAAACAUACUUAGCACAUGGUGCUUGCAGCUGCACCAGACUGCAGCUGCUAAUGCAGCUUUAUAUCAUCACUGACUGCAUGCCUGUACCCCUGGCCCUGGGCUACCAUGUUCCAUGUACACCAGCUAGGAUCUAGGAGUCAAGAGUCACCUGCAUCUGCAGCUUGAAAGAAAAGACAAUUGCAAAUUUUCCACCAUCUCAAAGAAAAAAUUUACAAAUCACUGCUAUAUACCGUAUUGGCGUAUAACUCCACCAUGUACCAGCUUCAAAGAAAAAGGAUUUAAGUUAUGUUGCUCAUUGCUAAAUAAAUGUGUUUACGUGUUUCUUCCAGCUGCAGAUUUUACCGUACCUCGGCCCCAUGCACAAUGUGUACCAGCUAGGAGUCUACUUAACCACCUUCAUCGACUUCAAAGAAACGACUUGCAAGUUAUGUCAGAUUCCAUAAAACUAUAUAGCUAGCUAGAGGGCAACUGUCCCUGGUUUCGACCUUCAUCUGUAGCAUACUGAUUUACGAGUUUGUGUCUUCAUGUGUCAGUUACACUGGUUUCGACUGGUCAACUUCGUCCAUGGGGUGAUAGCUAGUAUACUGAUUUACGAGUUUGUGUGUAUGUGUCCUCAUGUGUCAGUUACACUGGUUUCGACUGGUCAACUUCGUUCAUGGGGUGAUAGCUAGCAUACUGAUUUACGAGUUUGUGUGUAUGUGUCCUCACGUGUCAGUUACACUGGUUUCGACUGGUCAACUUCGUCCAUGGGGUGAUAGCUAGCAUUGUAAUUUACCAGUUUGUGUGUAUGUGUCCUCACGCGUCAGUUACACUGGUUUCGACUGGUCAACUUCGUCCAUGGGGUGAUAGCUAGCAUUGUAAUUUACCAGUUUGUGUGUAUGUGUCCUCACGCGUCAGUUACACUGGUUUCGACUGGUCAACUUCGUCCAUGGGGUGAUAGCUAGCAUUGUAAUUUACCAGUUUGUGUGUAUGUGUCCUCACGUGUCAGUUACACUGGUUUCGACUGGUCAACUUCGUCCAUGGGGUGAUAGCUAGCAUUGUAAUUUACCAGUUUGUGUGUAUGUGUCCUCAUGCGUCAGUUACACUGGUUUCGACUGGUCAACUUCGUCCAUGGGGUGAUAGCUAGCAUACUGAUUUACGAGUUUGUGUGUAUGUGUCCUCACGUGUCAGUUACACUGGUUUCGACUGGUCAACUUCGUCCAUGGGGUGAUAGCUAGCAUACUGAUUUACGAGUUUGUGUGUAUGUGUCCUCAUGUGUCAGUUACACUGGUUUCGACUGGCCAACUUCGUCCAUGGGGUGAUAGCUAGUAUACUGAUUUACGAGUUUGUGUGUAUGUGUCCUCAUGUGUCAGUUACACUGGUUUCGACUGGUCAACUUCGUCCAUGGGGUGAUAGCUAGCAUUUAUACUGAUUUACGAUUUUGUGUGUAUGUGUCCUCACGUGUCAGUUACACUGGUUUCGACUGGUCAACUUCGUCCAUGGGGUGAUAGCUAUAGCAUACUGAUUUACGAGUUUGUGUGUAUAUGUGUCCUCACGUGUCAGUUACACUGGUCAACUUCGUCCAUGGGGGUGAUAGCUUAUACUAUUUACAUUUUGCACUACAUAAUUAUGUGUUGGUAACUAUAGUGACUUCAAUCUUUUGUUCUGUAGGGGCUUAUUGUGACGAAAAUGAUCUGAGGGAUGUAGCGUUCAUGAAACCAAACGAAACGCCUGCAGUUCACUGUACUGGAAUUUCAAGAAACGCUAAGUGAUGAACACUAAAAACAAUUUACUGACAGAAGAAAUGUAUUGUGCUGCAUGUCAUGUGAUCCAGUGAUCUUAUUCUAUCAUAAACUCA
Molecule: long non-coding RNA, 2007 nt
Organism: Halichondria panicea
Lineage: Eukaryota; Metazoa; Porifera; Demospongiae; Suberitida; Halichondriidae
Exons: 4
Source: RefSeq, a predicted model, not a curated record